AUUGAACGCUGGCGGCAUGCUUUACACAUGCGAGUCGAACGGCAGCGCGGGCUUCGGCCUGGCGGCGAGUGGCGAACGGGUGAGUAAUACAUCGGAACGUGCCCAGUAGUGGGGGAUAGCUCGGCGAAAGCCGGAUUAAUACCGCAUACGACCUGAGGGUGAAAGCGGGGGAUCUUCGGACCUCGCGCUAUUGGAGCGGCCGAUGGCAGAUUAGCUAGUUGGUGGGGUAAAGGCCUACCAAGGCGACGAUCUGUAGCUGGUCUGAGAGGACGACCAACCACACUGGGACUGAGACACGGCCCAGACUCCUACGGGAGGCAGCAGUGGGGAAUUUUGGACAAUGGGCGAAAGCCUGAUCCAGCAAUGCCGCGUGUGUGAUGAAGGCCUUCGGGUUGUAAAGCACUUUUGGCGGGAACGAAAAGGACUGUGCCAAUACCACGGUUCGAUGACGGUACCCGCAGAAUAAGCACCGGCUAACUACGUG
This 484-nucleotide ribosomal RNA is filed under the name uncultured bacterium. Its description in RNAcentral is "partial 16S ribosomal RNA". It matches the Rfam family "Bacterial small subunit ribosomal RNA", at positions 29 to 507 of the family's 1533-position model. The record is from RNAcentral.